ACUAAGAUCGCAACUACCCAACAUUUAACCGUCCAUCUUAUUUAAAAACAAUAAUUAGUAGUUUUAUUGUUAUAUAAGAUGAUAAAACGUAAAUAGUACUUUAUGUGUGACUAAUUUAUUUUAAAUUUUUUUCAUAAAAUUUUUAAUAAGAUAAGUGAUUAAAUGUUGGGCAGGAAAACCCACCACCAUACUUAAA
RNAcentral lists this microRNA precursor (196 nucleotides) under Oryza meridionalis. RNAcentral describes it as "MIR812 microRNA precursor family". It matches the Rfam family "MIR812 microRNA precursor family". Lineage: Eukaryota; Viridiplantae; Streptophyta; Magnoliopsida; Poales; Poaceae. The record is from Rfam by way of RNAcentral.